UCGAACGAUGAACCACUUCGGUGGGGAUUAGUGGCGAACGGGUGAGUAACACGUGGGCAAUCUGCCCUUCACUCUGGGACAAGCCCUGGAAACGGGGUCUAAUACCGGAUAACACUGCGGAUCGCAUGGUCUGCGGUUAAAAGCUCCGGCGGUGAAGGAUGAGCCCGCGGCCUAUCAGCUUGUUGGUGAGGUAAUGGCUCACCAAGGCGACGACGGGUAGCCGGCCUGAGAGGGCGACCGGCCACACUGGGACUGAGACACGGCCCAGACUCCUACGGGAGGCAGCAGUGGGGAAUAUUGCACAAUGGGCGAAAGCCUGAUGCAGCGACGCCGCGUGAGGGAUGACGGCCUUCGGGUUGUAAACCUCUUUCAGCAGGGAAGAAGCGAAAGUGACGGUACCUGCAGAAGAAGCGCCGGCUAACUACGUGCCAGCAGCCGCGGUAAUACGUAGGGCGCAAGCGUUGUCCGGAAUUAUUGGGCGUAAAGAGCUCGUAGGCGGCUUGUCACGUCGAUUGUGAAAGCCCGAGGCUUAACCUCGGGUCUGCAGUCGAUACGGGCUAGCUAGAGUGUGGUAGGGGAGAUCGGAAUUCCUGGUGUAGCGGUGAAAUGCGCAGAUAUCAGGAGGAACACCGGUGGCGAAGGCGGAUCUCUGGGCCAUUACUGACGCUGAGGAGCG
Molecule: ribosomal RNA, 676 nt
Filed under: Streptomyces seoulensis
Lineage: Bacteria; Bacillati; Actinomycetota; Actinomycetes; Kitasatosporales; Streptomycetaceae
Description: bacterial SSU rRNA
Rfam family: Bacterial small subunit ribosomal RNA
Source: RNAcentral